UCCGUAGGCGGGCGUCUAAGUCAGUGGUGAAAUCUUACAGCUCAACUGUAAAAUUGCCAUUGAUACUGGAUGUCUUGAAUUAGUGUGAAGUGGUUAGAAUGUGUAGUGUAGCGGUGAAAUGCAUAGAUAUUACACAGAAUACCAAUUGCGAAGGCAGAUCACUAACACUAUAUUGACGCUGAGGGACGAAAGCGUGGGGAGCGAACAGGAUUAGCUACCCUGGUAGUCC
RNAcentral lists this ribosomal RNA (229 nucleotides) under uncultured bacterium. RNAcentral's name for it is "partial 16S ribosomal RNA". It matches the Rfam family "Bacterial small subunit ribosomal RNA", at positions 568 to 796 of the family's 1533-position model. The record is from RNAcentral.